Molecule: long non-coding RNA, 3252 nt
Organism: Cyprinus carpio carpio
Lineage: Eukaryota; Metazoa; Chordata; Actinopteri; Cypriniformes; Cyprinidae
Source: Ensembl
UCUCUCUCUCUCUCUCUUCCCCCCAUUUUUUUAUCCUUUCGAAUGACUGAUUCAGGCUGUUAGAGAUUAGUUCUCCAUCUAUAGGACUCCAUUUAAGGCCAGUACAUGGCUAGAGACAACAGACCAGCAAGAAACAGCAUCAAAAAACGGACCAAUGUUGCCCAUCUUCUCGCAGAAUCGCCUGGCCAGUGAUGCUCGCUUGUUACAGAGAGUCUCCCGACACACUUUCCAGCAAGUCGUCACCGGUCUCAGUCUUAACUAGGAGUGCGCCGUCAAAACAUAUCACCUCCCUCCCUAAGCCUGUCGAAGGAGGGGGUAGGACCCUCACAUCAGGGCAGCUACAAUCCUCUCCGGCCCCCUUCUCGCAGUCUGCAGGAGAGUUUUUAUGCCAGCACACAUACCGAGCGCACUCCAAAACCUACUGAGCCUUAUAUACAGGGCCGAGUUGGGGUGGGAAGAGACAUACGGUGUGCUCCUGGUUCUGGACGAUUCUGUUUACAUUGGCGUGAGUGGGCAAAAAAAUAAGCUGAUUGCAGGCUUUGUGUGCCUGUAUGUGUGCGACGGACUGCUCUUGCCUUAGCCACUAAACUGCAGAGACAAGGUGCUGAUUAUCAGUCCAAUGUGUGCUAAUACUUUUGACCCUAGAGGACCAUGGGUAACGCUGGGUUGUCGAUGCACUGCCGUCCCUUUCUGUGUUAUUUUGGUCUAUUUUAGAGAGGCAGAAAGGUGCUUUUAAAUUAAAUUGACAUUUUAAGUACGGGUCGAACCUUGAUAUUUGGAUUUAGUUUGCCAUCCCACCCUUCUGAAUGCUUUGAACUCUGAGAGGAGGCCCCCUUCGCCUGAUUGUUUUAAUAUUAAAGCUUUUUAACCUCAUUCUGGUGAUCGUAACCAAAUUGGAACAGACAAAUCGAGUGCUUUUUAGAUCUGCAGCUUUUAAACUACUACAAACUACUUUACCCCCUCCCCCACCUCCACUGAAAUAACAUCAGCAAACCAUUUCCACUCUCCGUUUCAGUUCGGUAAGCGUUUGCACACAAAUUUUAAGUAUCGUUGUGAGUCUAAACUCAAGUCUACUCUGAGGCAAGAGCACAUGAAAUGCACUAAUAGGUUAAAAUGUGAAAAACAGAAGGGAAUGAUUCAGUUGGGAAUUUUGUCGGUCAUUUCAGAAGUGAUUCAUGUUAUUGCCACUUUCGCAACUGAGGUGGUUCCAUAUUUGUAGAAUGUAUUAUUGUACAACAUAUGGUAGAGUAAGUACAUAACCAUACAUAUGGGAAGUGCCAAUAAUUGAUAUUUUGCUGUGUUUAGACGUGUUCCUUUUUGUAUUUCAUAUUUUAACUUGAAUUCCUCUUUCAUAAGUGAAGCCAUUUGUGUUAGGAGUGUUGGAGAGGACCAAAGUUGUUUUGGUAAAAAAAAAAAAAAAAUUCAGUUUCCAUGCUCUGUGCUGAUAGACUUUCCUUGUUUUUUUCCCCCCUCGUAUCUUUUCUUUCUUUCUUUUUUUUUAUUAAAAUAAAAAAAGAAAAAGAAAAAAUUCUGAGCAACCCAAGAUAAAGCUGUCUGUAACUUGUGAUUUUUCCUGUCUGUACAUCUCGUGUUCAUUAUUUUUCCUCAUUCUUGGGUAUGUUGUGAUGAACUGCUGUAAAUUUGUACAGUUCAUGUAAAUUGAUUGUGCUGAAGUUGUACAGAUUUCUAUAUUUUGGAAGAAAAGUUUUUUUUUUUUUCUCUGUAAUAAAAGAUUUCCUAUCUUGGCAAUGGUUUCCCGUAGACCUGGUCUUAUUCUUUAUCAAAACAUGCUCAUCCCAGAUAGCACACACAUGUCUGCAAGAUGUCUGCUGUGUACAAACAUCUGUCUGAUAGACGUCUUUAAGAUGUCAGUUUUAUUUACAUUCAUAAACAUCUUAAAGAAAACUUCUAAAGGCCUAUUUGACAUCUGAAAGGAAAUGUCCCAAAGACGUAUUGCAGAUGAGCAAACACUAAAAAAAUACAUCUUGCAGAUGUGAAAUAGACUUCUCCAUGUUCUUUGUGACUUUUUGGAAGAUAUUUACAAUAACACUGGGUGGGACAGUUUUGCUGUUUCAGUAUGGCCAUUUUAGAACAAAUAUGCCAGACUUCAGUUAGUAACAGAGCCCUGAAGUCACUGCUUUUCAGUUUUUUUCUUGUGUUUGGACAAAUAGAGGAAGUCUGCAUGGACGUUAGUAGAGCAUGAUUCUAGUUUGUGAAAAUAUUAGACAUGAACCUGCUUAAAGUUAAUUAUAAAUGCCCAACAUUACUUACAAAAAACAUUAACAGCCAGUCAGAAUCCACCCAACUUUUAAGAGCGUGAGCAUUUAAAGAGGCAGAUGACAUAACUGCAGCUUGUGAAUUGGUCUGGAUGCUAGUAUAUAGUUAGUUAUCUUUCUUUAUUUGCAUUAUGCAUUAUGCAUUGCAUUAUGGUGGUUUAGAGUGUACCUAGCAGAUCAUUACCAUUUUGUCUACAUAAAUGGUGAAAAAUCCAUGUUAAUAUCAGUAAGUUAUGGGGUGCCGCAAGGAUCUGUGUUAGGCCCUCUGUUAUUUUCAAUAUACAUGCUGCCACUUGGCAACAAUUUUAGAAAACAUGGAAUUGGUUUCCACUGCUAUGCCGUUGGUACUCAUAUAUAUUUCAUUCAGUUAUAUAUUUCAUCAUGACCAGAUGAAAACUGGAAAGACUGAGGCAUUACUUAUUGGACCAAAAACCUGCAUACAGAAUCUCUUAGAAUACAUUUUGCAACUAAAAGGAUGUACUGUUACAUCAUCCUCUGCAGUUAAAAUAUAACCUGGGGGUUAUAUUAGAGAACAACUUACCUUUCAAAAAUUAUAUUUCAUGUUACAAAAAUGGCCUUCUUCCACCUCAGAAACAUUGCUAAGCUAUGGAAUAUGUUUUCUAUUUCUUAUGGAGAAAAGCUAGUUCACGCAUUUAUUACCUCUCGACUGGAUUACUGUAAUGCAUUAGUUGUACUGCAUACUCAAUAAACAAGCUACAGUUAGUCCAAAAUGCAGCUGCUGGAGUUUUUACCAGGUCAAAAAAUAUGAUCAUAUUACCCCAAUUGUAUCAUCUCUGCACUGGUUACCCAUUAAGUUCCGUAUUGAUAUCAAAAUAUUGCUACUAACCUAUAAGGCCCUAAAUGGUUUGCUCCUGUAUAUUUAACUUAUCUUCUUAUGCCCUACAAUCCAUCACACUCUUUAAGGUUAUGAGACUUUAAUUAGUACUUAGGAUAUCUAAAUCCAUUUAGAUAAAAA